Molecule: ribosomal RNA, 497 nt
Filed under: uncultured bacterium
Lineage: Bacteria
Description: partial 16S ribosomal RNA
Rfam family: Bacterial small subunit ribosomal RNA
Source: RNAcentral
GAUGAACGCUGGCGGCGUGCCUAAUACAUGCAAGUCGAGCGAACAGACGAGGAGCUUGCUCCUCUGACGUUAGCGGCAGACGGGUGAGUAACACGUGGAUAACCUACCUAUAAGACUGGGAUAACUUCGGGAAACCGGAGCUAAUACCGGAUAAUCUAUUGAACCGCAUGGUUCAAUAGUGAAAGACGGUUUUGCUGUAACUUAUAGAUGGAUCCGCGCCGCAUUAGCUAGUUGGUAAGGUAACGGCUUACCAAGGCAACGAUGCGUAGCCGACCUGAGAGGGUGAUCGGCCACACUGGAACUGAGACACGGUCCAGACUCCUACGGGAGGCAGCAGUAGGGAAUCUUCCGCAAUGGGCGAAAGCCUGACGGAGCAACGCCGCGUGAGUGAUGAAGGUCUUCGGAUCGUAAAACUCUGUUAUUAGGGAAGAACAAAUGUGUAAGUAACUAUGCACGUCUUGACGGUACCUAAUCAGAAAGCCACGGCUAACUACGUG